CGGAGCGGGAGGAGGCGGCGGCGGCCGAGGAGGAGGAGGAGGCCCAGGAGGAGGAGGCGUUGGAGGCCGAGGAGGAGGAGGAGGAGGCCGCGGAGGAGGAGGCCGAGGCGGAGGAGGAGGAGGAGGCCGGGCUCGGGAGGCAGCAUGAGCCGAGCGCGGCGGCCGCGGCUCCUCUCGGCUGCGCUCGUUGCCCAUUGACAGCAGCGUCUGCAGCUCGCUUCAAGAUGGCCGCUUGGCUCACAUUCAUUUUCUGCUGAACGACUUUUAACUUUCAUUGUCUUUUCCGCCCGCUGCGAUCGCUUCUCGCCGGCUGCUUUUUCCGGGAUCUUUUAUCAAGCAGAAAUGCAUCGAACAACCAGAAUCAAGAUCACUGAGCUAAAUCCCCACCUAAUGUGUGUGCUUUGUGGAGGGUACUUCAUUGAUGCCACAACCAUAAUAGAAUGUCUACAUUCCUUCUGUAAAACGUGUAUUGUGCGUUACCUGGAGACCAGCAAGUAUUGUCCUAUCUGUGAUGUCCAAGUUCACAAGACCAGACCACUACUGAAUAUAAGGUCAGAUAAAACUCUUCAAGAUAUUGUAUACAAAUUAGUUCCAGGGCUUUUCAAAAAUGAAAUGAAGAGAAGAAGGGAUUUUUAUGCAGCUCAUCCUUCAGCUGAUGCUGCCAAUGGCUCUAAUGAAGAUAGAGGAGAAGUUGCAGAUGAAGAUAAGAGAAUUAUAACUGAUGAUGAAAUAAUAAGUUUAUGCAUUGAAUUCUUUGACCAGAACAGAUUGGAUCGGAAAGUAAAUAAAGACAAGGAGAAAUCUAAGGAGGAGGUGAAUGAUAAAAGGUAUUUACGAUGCCCAGCAGCAAUGACUGUGAUGCACCUAAGAAAGUUUCUCAGAAGUAAAAUGGACAUACCUAAUACUUUCCAGAUUGAUGUCAUGUAUGAAGAGGAACCUUUAAAGGAUUACUAUACACUAAUGGACAUUGCCUACAUUUAUACCUGGAGAAGGAAUGGUCCGCUUCCUUUGAAAUACAGAGUUCGACCUACUUGUAAAAGAAUGAAGAUCAGUCAUCAGAGAGAUGGACUGACAAACGCUGGAGAACUGGAAAGUGACUCUGGGAGUGACAAGGCCAACAGCCCAGCAGGAGGUAUUCCCUCCACCUCUUCUUGUUUGCCCAGCCCCGGCACUCCAGUCCAGUCUCCUCAUCCUCAGUUUCCUCACAUUUCCAGCACUAUGAAUGGAACCAGCAGCAGCCCCAGCAGUAACCACCAAUCUUCUUUUGCCAAUAGACCUCGAAAAUCGUCAGUAAAUGGGUCGUCAGCAACUUCAUCUGGUUGAUACCUGAGACUGUUGAGGAAAAAAAUUUUAAACCCCUGAUUUAUAUAGAUAUCUUCAUGCCAUUACAGCUUUAUAGAUGCUAAUACAUGUGACUAUCGUCCAAUUUGCUUUCUUUUGUAGUGACGUUAAAUUUGGCUAUAAAAGAUGGACUAGAUGUGA
Molecule: RNA transcript, 1482 nt
Organism: Aethalodelphis obliquidens (Pacific white-sided dolphin)
Lineage: Eukaryota; Metazoa; Chordata; Mammalia; Artiodactyla; Delphinidae
Gene name: polycomb complex protein BMI-1 pseudogene
Exons: 1
Source: RefSeq, a predicted model, not a curated record